CCUACGGGUGGCAGCAGUGAGGAAUAUUGGUCAAUGGUCGGGAGACUGAACCAGCCAAGCCGCGUGAGGGAUGAAGGUACAGAGUAUCGUAAACCUCUUUUGUCAGGGAAUAAAGGAGGGGACGUGUCCCCGGAUGAGUGUACCUGAAGAAAAAGCAUCGGCUAACUACGUGCCAGCAGCCGCGGUAAUACGGAGGGGGCAAGCGUUAUCCGGAUUUACUGGGUGUAAAGGGAGCGUAGGCGGCUAUGCAAGUCAGAAGUGAAAGCUCGGGGCUCAACUCCGGGACUGCUUUUGAAACUGUAUGGCUAGAUUGCAGGAGAGGCAAGUGGAAUUCCUAGUGUAGCGGUGAAAUGCGUAGAUAUUAGGAGGAACACCAGUGGCGAAGGCGGCUUGCUGGACUGUAAAUGACGCUGAGGCUCGAAAGCGUGGGGAGCAAACAGGAUUAGAUACCCCAGUAGUC
RNAcentral lists this ribosomal RNA (460 nucleotides) under uncultured bacterium. RNAcentral describes it as "partial 16S ribosomal RNA". It matches the Rfam family "Bacterial small subunit ribosomal RNA", at positions 338 to 795 of the family's 1533-position model. The record is from RNAcentral.